Molecule: ribosomal RNA, 253 nt
Filed under: uncultured bacterium
Lineage: Bacteria
Description: partial 16S ribosomal RNA
Rfam family: Bacterial small subunit ribosomal RNA
Source: RNAcentral
UACGUAGGGUGCAAGCGUUGUCCGGAAUUAUUGGGCGUAAAGAGCUCGUAGGCGGUCUGUCGCGUCUGCUGUGAAAACCCGCAGCUCAACUGUGGGCUUGCAGCUGAUACGGGCAGGCUUGAGUUCGGUAGGGGAGACUGGAAUUCCUGGUGUAGCGGUGAAAUGCGCAGAUAUCAGGAGGAACACCGGUGGCGAAGGCGGGUCUCUGGGCCGAUACUGACGCUGAGGAGCGAAAGCGUGGGGAGCGAACAGG